CCUACGGGUGGCAGCAGUGGGGAAUAUUGGGCAAUGGGCGCAAGCCUGACCCAGCAAUGCCGCGUGAAGGAUGAAGGCCCUCGGGUUGUAAACCUCUUUUAUCAGGGACGAAGGAUGUGAGGGUACCUGAGGAGUAAGCUCAGGCUAACUACGAGCAAGGAGCCGCGGUAAUACGUAGGGCGCAAGCGUUAACCGGAUAUACGGGGUGUAAUGGGCGCGUAGGCGGGAUGGCAAGUUAGAUGUGAAAUCCCGGGGCUCAACCACUGAACUGCAUUUGAAACUGGCGUUCUUGAGUAUGUGAGAGGAUGACGGAAUUCCUGGUGUAGCGGUGAAAUGCGUAGAUAUCAGGAGGAACACCAGUGGCGAAGGCGGUCAACUGGACAACAACUGACGCUGAGGCGCGAAAGCGUGGGGAGCAAACAGGAUUAGAUACCCUUGUAGUC
RNAcentral lists this ribosomal RNA (443 nucleotides) under uncultured bacterium. RNAcentral's name for it is "partial 16S ribosomal RNA". It matches the Rfam family "Bacterial small subunit ribosomal RNA", at positions 338 to 795 of the family's 1533-position model. The record is from RNAcentral.